UACAGAGGGUGCAAGCGUUGUUCGGAAUUACUGGGCGUAAAGCGCGUGUAGGUGGUCUUGUAAGUCAGAUGUGAAAUCCCCGGGCUUAACCCGGGACCUGCAUUUGAUACUGCAAAACUAGAGUGCCAGAGGGGAUGGUGGAAUUCCAAGUGUAGAGGUGAAAUUCGUAGAUAUUUGGAGGAACACCUGUGGCGAAGGCGGCCAUCUGGAUGGUAACUGACACUGAGACGCGAAAGCAUGGGUAGCAAACAGG
RNAcentral lists this ribosomal RNA (253 nucleotides) under uncultured bacterium. RNAcentral describes it as "partial 16S ribosomal RNA". It matches the Rfam family "Bacterial small subunit ribosomal RNA", at positions 524 to 776 of the family's 1533-position model. The record is from RNAcentral.